ACGAAAAAUGAAUACCAAGUCUCAAGAGUGAACACGUAAUUCAUUACGAAGUUUAAUUCAUUGAGCAUCAAACUUUUAAAUUGAAGAGUUUGAUCAUGGCUCAGAUUGAACGCUGGCGGCAGGCCUAACACAUGCAAGUCGAACGGUAACAGGAAGCAGCUUGCUGCUUUGCUGACGAGUGGCGGACGGGUGAGUAAUGUCUGGGAAACUGCCUGAUGGAGGGGGAUAACUACUGGAAACGGUGGCUAAUACCGCAUAACGUCGCAAGACCAAAGAGGGGGACCUUCGGGCCUCUUGCCAUCAGAUGUGCCCAGAUGGGAUUAGCUUGUUGGUGAGGUAACGGCUCACCAAGGCGACGAUCCCUAGCUGGUCUGAGAGGAUGACCAGCCACACUGGAACUGAGACACGGUCCAGACUCCUACGGGAGGCAGCAGUGGGGAAUAUUGCACAAUGGGCGCAAGCCUGAUGCAGCCAUGCCGCGUGUAUGAAGAAGGCCUUCGGGUUGUAAAGUACUUUCAGCGGGGAGGAAGGUGUUGUGGUUAAUAACCGCAGCAAUUGACGUUACCCGCAGAAGAAGCACCGGCUAACUCCGUGCCAGCAGCCGCGGUAAUACGGAGGGUGCAAGCGUUAAUCGGAAUUACUGGGCGUAAAGCGCACGCAGGCGGUCUGUCAAGUCGGAUGUGAAAUCCCCGGGCUCAACCUGGGAACUGCAUUCGAAACUGGCAGGCUUGAGUCUUGUAGAGGGGGGUAGAAUUCCAGGUGUAGCGGUGAAAUGCGUAGAGAUCUGGAGGAAUACCGGUGGCGAAGGCGGCCCCCUGGACAAAGACUGACGCUCAGGUGCGAAAGCGUGGGGAGCAAACAGGAUUAGAUACCCUGGUAGUCCACGCCGUAAACGAUGUCUACUUGGAGGUUGUGCCCUUGAGGCGUGGCUUCCGGAGCUAACGCGUUAAGUAGACCGCCUGGGGAGUACGGCCGCAAGGUUAAAACUCAAAUGAAUUGACGGGGGCCCGCACAAGCGGUGGAGCAUGUGGUUUAAUUCGAUGCAACGCGAAGAACCUUACCUGGUCUUGACAUCCACGGAAGUUUUCAGAGAUGAGAAUGUGCCUUCGGGAACCGUGAGACAGGUGCUGCAUGGCUGUCGUCAGCUCGUGUUGUGAAAUGUUGGGUUAAGUCCCGCAACGAGCGCAACCCUUAUCCUUUGUUGCCAGCGGUCCGGCCGGGAACUCAAAGGAGACUGCCAGUGAUAAACUGGAGGAAGGUGGGGAUGACGUCAAGUCAUCAUGGCCCUUACGACCAGGGCUACACACGUGCUACAAUGGCGCAUACAAAGAGAAGCGACCUCGCGAGAGCAAGCGGACCUCAUAAAGUGCGUCGUAGUCCGGAUUGGAGUCUGCAACUCGACUCCAUGAAGUCGGAAUCGCUAGUAAUCGUGGAUCAGAAUGCCACGGUGAAUACGUUCCCGGGCCUUGUACACACCGCCCGUCACACCAUGGGAGUGGGUUGCAAAAGAAGUAGGUAGCUUAACCUUCGGGAGGGCGCUUACCACUUUGUGAUUCAUGACUGGGGUGAAGUCGUAACAAGGUAACCGUAGGGGAACCUGCGGUUGGAUCACCUCCUUACCUUAAAGAANNNNNNNNNNNNNNNNNNNNUGAAGUGCUCACACAGAUUGUCUGAUGAAAA
Molecule: ribosomal RNA, 1680 nt
Filed under: Salmonella enterica subsp. enterica serovar Paratyphi A
Lineage: Bacteria; Pseudomonadati; Pseudomonadota; Gammaproteobacteria; Enterobacterales; Enterobacteriaceae
Description: bacterial SSU rRNA
Rfam family: Bacterial small subunit ribosomal RNA
Source: RNAcentral